UGACAUGAUGAUGAUCCACAAUAACAGAAGGACAAAGUCACUCUGCUGCUUUUAGAGAAAAGCUGAUUGAUGAGGACAAAGUAAUGUUGAUCUGCACAUUCAGAACCUGAACACAUCUGAUGGAUCAUCAAUGAUUUUAUACACAUCUUUUAUUCUUUAUUCAGAUUGAUUGGCUGCAGUUUGUCAGAGAUCAGCUGUGAUUCUCUGGUCUCAGCUCUGAAGUCCAACCCCUCCCAUCUGGAACAUCUGGACCUGAGUGGAAACAACCUGCAGGAUUCAGGAGUCAAACAUCUGAGUGGUUUUCUGGAGAGUCCAGACUGCAUCCUGAAGACUCUGAGAUGGAAGUGAUGCUGAUCAGGACGGUGUUUGUGCUGAGAGGAUGAAGUGUGUCCUGAUGAUCCAGAUGUUGAAGCAGCAGCAGCUGGUGUGUAGAGACUCUGACUGGACCAUGUUACUGCACUGUAAAACAUCAGGAAUUCAUUCAGUCACAUCAACUCAUCUGUUCUAGUUUACUUUAGAGAAAUACAGGAGUUUUACUAAUUACUAAUUAUUUGAACUUAAAAUGUUUCAUUUUUCUUUUCAGACCACUUUAGAACUAAAGAACAUGAAUUUGUAGAACUUGAGGCAUUUUUUCUUCAAAUAUUGAGUUGAAUGAAUGAACAGCUCAGAGUUCACUCAACUCAUGAAAUUAAGUUCACAAGAAACAAAACAAACACAGAUUUCCCCGUUAAUGUUCACAUGAUACCAUGACUGUAAAAAAUGAUCAUUAUUUUACAACCAGUUCUGUUGUUUUGUUCAAUUACAAACAAUAUCUAGUAAAAUCCCAGAAAAGUAUUAACUUCCAUGUUCAACUGUAAAUAAUGUCCACAUCAAUAGGGUUAGGUAUUUUAAUAAAUACUCAUUUGUUCUUUAACAACAUUUUUACUUUAUUUUAAUCAGCAACAAGUCACAUUAUUUUACAGAUAUUUGUCCUCAUUUUAAAGACUAUUUAUGUUUAUUAAAGAUUGAAAAUGAGAAAUAUUUUAACACUUAAUUGACAUUUUUGCUGUGUUUUGUUAAAUUACAGAUAAUCUGGAAUAAAAUCACAGAAAAAAUGUUCAUUUAUUCAGAAUGUUUGCUGUAAAAAACUGUAGAAUAAUGUGAACAUUAAAAUUCACUAUUUUAAUAAAUGUUCAUUUGUUCUUUUAUACCAUUUAACUCUCACACUCUUGUUUAUUGAAUUUAAAUCAGCAAAAAAUAUCAUUUUUCCAGAAUCUGAAGGACAAACUAUGUAUAUGUAUACGAUAUAUAUUAAUUCUAUUAAAGGCAGAAAUGAUUCCAAAGCAUUCCACUGUUUUAUUUGACAGUUUUGCAGGAUUUAGUUCAAUUACAGAUAAUCUGUGUAAAAUGAUAAAAAAGUGUUAAUUUCUACAAUUUUAGAAUCUUUCUUUUUCCAACUAGUAAAUUGUUGUUGUACAAUGUGUGACCAAUAAAAAUGACUGUUUUCCUGU
Long non-coding RNA from Acanthochromis polyacanthus (spiny chromis), 1490 nucleotides. RefSeq lists it as uncharacterized. The record is from RefSeq and is a predicted model, not a curated record. The transcript has 2 exons. NCBI's taxonomy places the organism in Eukaryota, Metazoa, Chordata, Actinopteri, Pomacentridae.